Molecule: ribosomal RNA, 450 nt
Filed under: uncultured bacterium
Lineage: Bacteria
Description: bacterial SSU rRNA
Rfam family: Bacterial small subunit ribosomal RNA
Source: RNAcentral
GUCGAGAAUAAUUCACAAUGGGGGCAACCCUGAUGGUGCAACGCCGCGUGGAGGAUGACGGUCUUCGGAUUGUAAACUCCUGUCAUCCGGGAGUAAGACCUGGGAGUUAAUAGCUCACAGGGUUGAUAGUACCGGAAGAGGAAGGGACGGCUAACUUCGUGCCAGCAGCCGCGGUAAUACGAAGGUCCCGAGCGUUGUUCGGAAUCACUGGGCGUAAAGGGAGCGUAGGCGGCGCGGUAAGUCAGAUGUGAAAUCCCGGGGCUCAACCCCGGAACUGCAUCCGAUACUGCCGUGCUAGAGGAUUGGAGAGGUAGCUGGAAUUCUUGGUGUAGCAGUGAAAUGCGUGGAUAUCAAGAGGAACACUCGUGGCGAAAGCGAGCUACUGGACAACUCCUGACGCUGAGGCUCGAAGGCCAGGGUAGCGAAAGGGAUUAGAUACCCGAGUAGUCC